RNAcentral lists this ribosomal RNA (496 nucleotides) under uncultured bacterium. Its description in RNAcentral is "partial 16S ribosomal RNA". It matches the Rfam family "Bacterial small subunit ribosomal RNA", at positions 28 to 507 of the family's 1533-position model. The record is from RNAcentral.
GAUGAACGCUGGCGGCGUGCCUAAUACAUGCAAGUCGAGCGAACAGACGAGGAGCUUGCUCCUCUGACGUUAGCGGCGGACGGGUGAGUAACACGUGGAUAACCUACCUAUAAGACUGGGAUAACUUCGGGAAACCGGAGCUAAUACCGGAUAAUAUAUUGAACCGCAUGGUUCAAUAGUGAAAGACGGUUUUGCUGUCACUUAUAGAUGGAUCCGCGCCGCAUUAGCUAGUUGGUAAGGUAACGGCUUACCAAGGCAACGAUGCGUAGCCGACCUGAGAGGGUGAUCGGCCACACUGGAACUGAGACACGGUCCAGACUCCUACGGGAGGCAGCAGUAGGGAAUCUUCCGCAAUGGGCGAAAGCUUGACGGAGCAACGCCGCGUGGGUGAUGAAGGUCUUCGGAUCGUAAAACUCUGUAUUAGGGAAGAACAAAUGUGUAAGUAACUAUGCACGUCUUGACGGUACCUAAUCAGAAAGCCACGGCUAACUACGUG